This 618-nucleotide ribosomal RNA is filed under the name Triticum aestivum (bread wheat). RNAcentral's name for it is "partial small subunit ribosomal RNA". The record is from RNAcentral. Lineage: Eukaryota; Viridiplantae; Streptophyta; Magnoliopsida; Poales; Poaceae.
AUGGCCAACGAGAUCAUUCUGCGUCUCGACAUCGCCCAGGAAAGCAGACAACUGUUGCGCGGCGAGCUCCAGCUGCGGAAGCAGCUCAAGCUGCGCAUCCUCGGCCUCGCUGCGAUCGACAAAGCUCGGAAGCGGCAAGCGUCGCGUGUCACCUGGCUCCGUGCGGGCGAUGCCAAGACGGUGUUUUUCCAGGCUAAAAUCAACUCUAGGCGCCAGAAGGACUUCAUCCACGCCCUCCGCACCAGCGACUCCAUUGCCACCUCCCACAGUGACAAAGAGCGGAUCAUUCAUGAGCAUUUCAACUCCACACUGGGGACGGCGACCCCUUGUAGCUGCACCAUUGACUGGGACGCCAUCCACUUGCCGACCCUGCCCGCGGCCAGCCUCGACAACCCUUUCACCGAGGAGGCGGUGUGGGCGGCGAUCUGCAAAUCUCCGCAGGAGAAAUCCCCAGGGCUGGAUGGCUUCAACGGCACGUUCUACCGCUCCUGCUGGCCCAUCAUCAAGGAGGACGUCAUGGCAGCAUUUCACUAGUUCUACACCAUAAAAUUGGGUAGUAAUUUCAGUGGGCUUAGUGUGUUAUCCCUUGGCUGUUUCUCUCUUGCACCAUAUCGUUGA